Molecule: non-coding RNA, 81 nt
Organism: Hypoxylon argillaceum
Lineage: Eukaryota; Fungi; Ascomycota; Sordariomycetes; Xylariales; Hypoxylaceae
Source: the annotation of a GenBank genome assembly
GGCUAGGUGGCGGAGUGGUUAACGCGGUAGACUCGAAAUCUACUUCCUUCGGGAGCACCCGUUCGAAUCGGGUCCUAGUCG